GACGAACGCUGGCGGCGUGCCUAAUACAUGCAAGUAGAACGCUGAAGGAGGACCUUGCUUCUCUGUAUGAGUUGCGCACGGGUGAGUAACGCGUGGGUAACCUGCCUCGUAGCGGGGGAUAACUCUUGGAAACGAUAGCUAAUACCGCAUAAUAGUAGAUGUUGCAUGACAUUUUCUUUAAAGGUGCACUUCCAUCACUCCCAGAUGGACCUGCGUUGUAUUUGCUAGUUGGUGGGGUAACGGCUCACCAAAGCGACGAUACAUAGCCGACCUGAGAGGGUGAUCGGCCCAACUGGGAAUGGGGAACGGGCCAGACUUCUUACGGGAGGAGGAAGAGGGGAACUUCGGCAAUGGGGGGAAGUCUGGACGAACAAAGGCGGGGGAGGGAAGAAAGGUUUCGGGUCGGAAAGGUCUGUUGUGAGGGGAGAAAGGGUGGUAGAGUGGAAAGUUCACACUGUGACGGUAUCUGAACAAAAAGGGACGGCUAACUACGUG
Molecule: ribosomal RNA, 495 nt
Filed under: uncultured bacterium
Lineage: Bacteria
Description: partial 16S ribosomal RNA
Rfam family: Bacterial small subunit ribosomal RNA
Source: RNAcentral